This 305-nucleotide ribosomal RNA is filed under the name uncultured bacterium. RNAcentral describes it as "bacterial SSU rRNA". It matches the Rfam family "Bacterial small subunit ribosomal RNA", at positions 28 to 334 of the family's 1533-position model. The record is from RNAcentral.
GAUGAACGCUGGCGGCGCGCCUAACACAUGCAAGUCGAACGGUGAAGUCCCUUCGGGGACGGAUCAGUGGCGGACGGGUGAGUAACGCGUGAGUAACCUGCCCUUAUGAGUGGAAUAACGUCUGGAAACGGACGCUAAUACCGCAUAAUGCAUCGGGAAGACAUCUUCCUGACGCCAAAGAUUUAUCGCAUAAGGAUGGACUCGCGUCUGAUUAGAUAGUUGGUGGGGUAACGGCCUACCAAGUCGACGAUCAGUAGCCGGACUGAGAGGUUGAACGACCACAUUGGAACUGAGAAACGGUCCAG